GGGCUGCGGCUCAGCGGUAGAGCGCUCGCCUAGCACAUGCGAGGCCCUGGGUUCGAUCCUCAGCAUCACA
Molecule: transfer RNA, 70 nt
Filed under: Marmota monax (woodchuck)
Lineage: Eukaryota; Metazoa; Chordata; Mammalia; Rodentia; Sciuridae
Description: tRNA.Ala
Source: RNAcentral